RNAcentral lists this unclassified non-coding RNA (326 nucleotides) under soil metagenome. RNAcentral describes it as "partial contains 5.8S ribosomal RNA, internal transcribed spacer 2, and large subunit ribosomal RNA". The stretch from base 1 to 120 matches the Rfam family "5.8S ribosomal RNA", at positions 35 to 154 of the family's 154-position model. The record is from RNAcentral.
GAUGAAGAACGUAGCGAAAUGCGAUAAGUAAUGUGAAUUGCAGAAUUCAGUGAAUCAUCGAAUCUUUGAACGCACAUUGCGCCCCUUGGUAUUCCGAGGGGCAUGCCUGUUCGAGCGUCAUUAUAACCCUCAAGCUCAGCUUGGUGUUGGGGCCUGCUGCACUGGCAGCCCUUAAAAUCAGUGGCGGCGCCAUCUGGCUCUAAGCGUAGUAAUUCUUCUCGCUAUGGAGUCCUGGUGGAUGCUUGCCAUCAACCCCCAAUUUUUCUAUGGUUGACCUCGGAUCAGGUAGGGAUACCCGCUGAACUUAAGCAUAUCUAAGCGGAGGA